AUCCUCUUGGGUUGUUAUGAGCUCAAAGUUGAAUCUCCUCUUUGGCUGUUAGUGAGUUCUGAUCUCAAGGAGUAGGAUGGUGCAACAAUCGUAGAUAUCUAUGCUUGAUAUGUGUUUUAAGUUCAGAUGGAUCUCAAGUAAAAAUUUUACAAGAGGAUUCCACAGUCAAGGGGCAAUUCAGGGGAAGCUCUGCUCGACAGUAAAAGGAUAGAAAUAUUACUUGUAGAUCUUAAACUCAAGUUGCAGACGGCGUAGUUGAAGAUAGAGACAAGUUUUUGAAAACUCUUCAUUCACUAAGGAUGAGAUCCAUGGUGCUCAAGAAGGGUUUGAAAAUGCUAGAGGCUUAGAGUGCGUGACUUGUCUCUGCCCUUGUCUCCGCCCGGCAAGCUAUCGACUUCUUCGCUUCAGGAUGGACUAGGGGCUUCUGGUGGUUCAGAUCUGGAUCCAAGUGGUUUUUGAGGGUAAAUGGGGUUAAAAAUAACCCUAGCAUCCACAAUCGUUGGAUUAACCAGUGUACACGUGUCAUGCAGAAAAAGAAUUGAACAAGAAUUGGAAGAUCAAGAAUUAGAGACAA
This is a long non-coding RNA of Macadamia integrifolia, 574 nucleotides long. RefSeq lists it as uncharacterized. The transcript is spliced from 2 exons. Lineage: Eukaryota; Viridiplantae; Streptophyta; Magnoliopsida; Proteales; Proteaceae. The record is from RefSeq and is a predicted model, not a curated record.